GCCCUGGUAGCUCAGUUGGUAGAGCAGAGGAUUGAAAAUCCUUGUGUCGGUGGUUCAAAUCCGCCCCAGGGCACCA
This 76-nucleotide transfer RNA is filed under the name Pseudomonadota bacterium. RNAcentral describes it as "tRNA-Phe". It matches the Rfam family "tRNA". From Rfam's summary of the family: Transfer RNA (tRNA) molecules are approximately 80 nucleotides in length. Their secondary structure includes four short double-helical elements and three loops (D, anti-codon, and T loops). Lineage: Bacteria; Pseudomonadati; Pseudomonadota. RNAcentral also lists the same sequence under 1 other name. The record is from RNAcentral.